CCUCUAUUUUGCAUGUCAGUUGCUGACACAACAUGGCCACAGCUGAGUGGUGUAAGUCCGUGCCCGGAAACCCAACCCAGGCUGGCUGAAGCAGAGUGUACCAAACUAAACCAUUAGGCCAUGGGAUUGGCCCCAAAAUUGGGGAAUUUUGUGGGGAAAUGUGGACACAGAGAGAGGGAAGAAAAGUGAAGACGCAGGGAGAAGAUGGCUCCGUGACUGAGUGACUCAUCUGCAAACUGAAGAAUGCCUAGGCCUGCCAGAAGCUAGGAGAGAGGCCUGGAAAACGUCCUUCCCCAGGGCCUUCGGAGGGAGCAUGGCCUUUCUAAGCCUUGAUUUUGGACUUCCAGCCUCCAAACUUGUGAGACAAUAAAUUUCCAUUAUUCUAAGCAACCCAGUUUAUGGUACUUUGUUACUGCAGCCCUUAGCCAACUAAUACAGAGCCUUUGAUCAAAUCUGGACCAGGAUUAAGAGGGUUUUAGAUCGCUUUCCUAUUUCCAUUACAGGGAGCAAGUUCCUUUAGGCUUUUACCCUUUUUCUGGCAACUCUAAGCCAGCACUUCAUAUAAAAUAGCCAGAGAGAAAGCCCACUCUAUGUAGAGUUUAUGAAGAUCACUUUCUCACACUAUCCUUUUUCAAAAAUCCAUCACUUUGAAUUAAGAAAAUAAUCCCGUGAAGAAAACCUUGGAAAUAUUUCCUACAAUCAAUAAUUAGCCAAUUGCCUUAGUUUCCUAUAACUGCUAUAAUAAAAGAGGUCUCUCUCCUCCCUUUUUGUUUCUGUUGCUUCAUCACUGUUACUGUCUUUGAACCUCCUACCUCCCUCUUAUAAAGGCCCUUGUGAUUACAUUGAGCUCAGCCCGAUAAUCCAGAAUAACCUCCUCAUCUCAAGAUUGUUAACAUCAUACCUUCAAAGUCCUUUUUGCCAGGUAAGAUAAAGUAUUCACAGACUCUGAAGAUUAGGAUGUAGACAUCUUUAGAGGACCAUUAUUCAGUCUACGACAACAGUAAGUACCCCCUUUGCAAAAUAUGUUGCUAUAAAUACCAAUUAAAUCUUGAAAGAAACUUUUCAAAAGCUGGUCUUUUAAAAUUGUUCCUAAAGAAAUAGCUGGGAAAAAAAAUACAGAUUUAAUAGAACUGCUACACCUUUUCUAUGAUAAUCCAUUCAUUUAUUCAGUAGAUAUUUAUUUUUAAAAGUGCCAUGUUUCCAGCACUUUCUCGGUUUCUCCUCAUGGAACUUACAUCAUAGUAGAGGGAGGAAAUUACAAUAACUAAACAAAAAAAUAAGUGCUAUAGUUUCCAGGCCCUGUGAAAUAAAGUUGAGUGAAGGAAGAUAAUUACUAUUUGGGACAAGGAUAUUUCUCUAAAGAAAGUGACAUUGGUACAGUCUUGAAUUAAAUGAGAGAGAAGACAAAGUGAAUACUUGUGUGUAGAUAUUUCUGGGGAGGAACAUUUCUAUUAGGAGGUUCUUUGCGUCAAAAACAUACUAUUCUUAAGUGAAUAAUAAUUUACUAUAUCGUAAUAAAAAUAAGAAAUUUCUCUUAAUCUGUUGUCGUACCAGAUAUAACCUAAGGGAUCCUGACGCAAAAUAAAAAAUGAGGAUGCUCUCUCACAGGUACGACGUGGAAACAGACUCAGAUAGAAUCAACUCCAUAAUUUUCAAAAGGAGAAGAGUUCAGUCAUUAAAUUCUUUACUCAUUAAGGUGAGGCUCAGAUUCAGAAGCCAAGACUCUAAAAAAUUCUCUCUCUCUCUCUCUCAAUAUAUAUACAUACAAUUUCUGUAUCUAGAAGGGUAGUUUGUUGACAUUCUUGUCUAUGAAGAGGGAAAGUUAAUUGUAUAUAAAAGCUCAUACUUUUAUUAAACUAUUGAUUUGUAUAUAGUUAUAGGAUAUCAGAUAUUACAAAAGUUAAUGUAUAUCUGGUUUGAAAUAGAUACACUCAGAUAAACCAAGAUUUUUUCUUUUUUAAUGGCAGUAUUGGAGUAUAACUUACACACCAGGAAGUUUAUUUUCUUGUUUUAAGUGUCUGUGGAAAUUUGUUAUGUUACAGAUGACCUGUAAGUAGAGACGGAUAUUCCUAAGAGUAAUGAAAUGGUCAAUGUUCAAAGGUUUUACAAUCUAGCUGGAGAAAUAAGCAUGAGUACCACUACCAAAAAUGUAAUAAUACAGAUAUUAUUACAAUUCAAAUAAGGUAUAAUAGUCUUUUGGCUAUUUUCUUAAGUAAUUCUUUUUUUGUUUUUAUCUUCUUACCUCCUUCACCCAUUUCUACUACCCCCUACCCCCUGCCGCUGGCAACCACCAAUCUGUUCUCUGUAUCUGUGAGCUUGUUUUGUUUUGCUUUUAAAUAUUCCACAUACGAGAGAUCAUAUGGUAUUUGUCUUUCUCUGUCUGACUUAUUUCACUUAUUAUAAUGCCCUCAAGUUCCAUUAAUGUUGUAGCAAAUGGCAAGAUUUCUUUCUUUUUAUGGCUGAAUAAUAUUCCGUUGUGUGUGUAUACAAUUUCUUUAUCUAUUCAUCAUUGAUGGUUACUUACGUUGUUUCCAUAUCUUGGCUACUGUAAAUAAUGCUGCAAUGAUUGUAGGAGUGCAUAUUUUUCAAAUUAGUGUUUUUGUUUUCUUUGGAUAAGUACCCAGAAGUGAAAUUGCUGGAUCAUAUGGUAGUUCUAUUUUUAAUUUUCUGAGGAACCUCAAUACUGUUUUCCAUAGUGGCUACACCAUUUUACAUUCCCACCAGCAGUGCAAGAGGCUUCCCUUUUCUCUACAUCCUCUCCAACACUUAUUUCUUGUCUUUUUGAUAAUAGCCAUUCUAACAGGUGUUAGAGAUGUUGAGCACCUUUUCAUGUGCUAAUUGGCCAUCUGUGUGUCUUCUUUGGAAAAUGUCUAUUCAGAUCCUCUGCCCAUUUUUUAAUCAGAUUGUUGUUUUUUUUGCUAUAAAGUUGUAUGAGUUUUUAAUAUAUUUUUGGAAAUUAUACCCUGACCAGAUAUAUGUGGUUGCAAAUGUUUUCUCCCAUUCUGUAGGUUGUAUUUUCACUUUGUUGAUGAUUUCCCUUGUUGUGCAAAAGCUUUUUAGUUUGAUCUAGUCCAACUUGUUUAUUUUUGCUUUUGGUGUGAGAUUCAAAGAAUCAUCACCGAGAGCUAUGUCAAGGAGCUCCACUACCUAUAUUUUCUUCUGAGAGUUUUAUGGUUUCUGGUCUCAUGUUCAGGACUUUGAUCCAUUUUGAGUGGACUUUUCUAUAAGAUGUAAGAUAGCGGUCCAGUUUCAUACUUUUGAAUAUGGCUGUCCAGUUUUCCCAGCACCAUUUCUUGAAAAGACUGUCCUUUCGUUUUUGUAUAUUCUUGGCUCCUUUGUCAUAAAUUGAUUGACAUAUAAGCAUGGUUUAUUUCCUGGCUCUCUAUUCUGUUCCAUUGAUCUUUGUGUCUGUUUUUAUGCCAAUAUAAUAUUGUUUAAUUACUAUAGCUUUGUAAUAUAGUUUGAAAUCAGGGAGCAUGAUGCACCCAACUUUGAUCUUUCUCAAAAUUGUUUUGGCUAUUUGGGGUUUUUUGUAGUCCCAUACAAAUUUUAGGAUUGUUUGUUCUAUUUCUGUGAAAAACCCCAUCAGAAUUUUGAUAAGGAUUGCAUUUAAUCUGUGGAUUGCUUUCAGUAGUAUGGACAUUUUAACAAUAUUUAUUCUUCUAAUCCGUGAACAUGCAAUAUCUUCCCAUUUGUUUGUGUCUUCUUCAAUUUCUUUCAUUAAUGUCCUCUAGUUUUCAGUGUACAGGUCUUUAACCUCCUUGGUUAAAUUUAUUCCUAAGUAUUUUAUUCUUUUUGAUGCAAUUGUAAAUGAGAUUGAGUAUAGCUGUAGUAGAUUAGAUAUUACAAAAGUUAAUUAUAUCUGGUUGAAUAUAGAGACACUCAAAUAAACCAAGACUUUAAAUUACAUGGUAUAUCAUUUUGAAAAGUAAGGAUUAUCCAAAAGCCUGCAAUCCAUUCUUUCCAUUUACCAGAUUAUCCAGAAAGAAAAGGAAAAAUGCAACCUGAUCGAUUUGCUAAACAAAAUGCUAAAAAGUAUUUGCUAAUGGAACAGUCACUAACUUUGAAAUGAUUUUAGUAGAAUGUAUUUACUCUAUCUAGAUUUGUUUGUGAUAAACAAACUUGAGAACUAUGGAGUUAUUGAAUAUAUCAUCUAUUAUGUCAGUCAGUAUCAGAUUUAGCAACCAUGGAAAUGGUUGACAGAUGCAGAAUAAUGCCCCCCAUCCCCCAACAAAAGACAUCCGUGGACUGAUCCAUGAAACUUGAGAAUGUUACCUUACAUGGGCAAUGGGGAAUGAAGAUUCCAGAUGGCAUUGAAGUUCCUAAUCAGAUGACCUUAAAAUAGGGAGAUUAUCUGUUUUUGGAUUUGAAGAUGGAGGAAGGAUUUCACAAGCCAAGGAAUGCUACUGACUUCUAGAACCUGGAGAAAGCAAGGAAAUGGAUUUUUUUAGAGCCUUUAGCAAGGAAUGCAGCCCUGCCAACAUGUUGAUUUGAGCCUAGUGAGACCCACACUGGACUCCUAACCUACAGAACUGUAAGAUAAUACAGUUGUGCUAUUUUAAGCCCUAAGUUUGUGGUGAUUUGUUACAGCAUCCAUAGAAAUGAAUCUAAUAUUUCAUGAUCAAAAUGACUUAUUUUGUGUAAGUGAUGAUACAUAGAGCUCUGAGAGAACUCAUUUGCUAAAUCAGAUUUAGCCAGGCUAUGUCCUGAUGCAGAAAAGAAGCACCUUGAGACCUGUAUUGGCAAUCCAAUACUUUCUGCUUCAUCUCUGCCUCAUGGUUACUUAUAUCCUUGAAAUUAGUAGUAAAAUGUGAUACUGUGUAAAAUCUCUUAUUCCUGUGAGUCUGAUUUAGCACACCAAUUGUUUAUAUUUUCUCAUUGCCUGAUUUUUUUCUAAAUAAGAACUAUCAAUGAUAUAUUAUUAUUCAAUUCAGUAAGUGUUUAUUUGGCAGAUACCGUGUCCUAGUAGAGAAUUAGAUAGUAUGUAAAUGCAUAAUAAGUGAAUGAAAUAAUUACUGUUUCAGGGAACUUACAAUCUACUUGAAUCAUUUCAAUUACAGCUCCAUAGAUAUCAGAACAUCAUUUGAAGAUGCUUGUUUCUCCUCUGCCCAAGAUGAGAGUCAAAACAAUUUUUGAAAAAAUCAACACAGCUUUGCCAUAAUUCAGAAGGAGUCAUACCAGAUCUUCAAUGAAUCAUAUCUCUGCCAAUAAUAUCAGUAAUAAUAGCUUUCCCCAGAUAUUCAUGCCUGCCAAGCCUAUUCAGAAAAGUACUUAAGCAUUCCUGGAUUCAUGGUGAACAAGCAGAGCCUCAUUCCCUGUAAUCAUACAAAAUAGACUCUUUCAUUUGCUGAACAGCGUGAUGCGGGAUUGCGGCAACCGUACGUACUGCUUCUUGAAGAAAGGUCUCCAGGCCCAGGUGAAGUACACAAACCAACAUUUGUGCUGCUUUACUAGGGUAAAGCUUUGCCAUCCACAGUUCCUGACUAAUGGCCAGCGCUACUUCUCUAGUCAUAGCAAGAGCCAGGGUUGCUCUGCUGGCCCCCUGGAAACAGCCCUGCCUCCAAUGAUCUCUGAUGGGCAAACAUCACAGCUUCACCUUGCUGUCAAGAACAACUGUAGUUUGCUGGGUUGAGUCAGCAGAAUGCAACAAGGGGAAGAUUCCCACCAUUCUGGAGUAAACUCUUUCAAAGCAAUGUUGGGUUUUUCUCAAUGAUUUACGAAUAGCUUUUUUGAAAUUUUCUUAUAGUCCCUUACAUGUACACAGGGCAAGACCAAAGCCAAAUUAAAGAAAUAGAAAUCAUAAACUCUGAAGAAUCUCUAUUCCUCUUUGGAUUACUAAGAAUUUGUUUCUCAGUUGAUGCUAUUUUGCUAGGCAACUUCCAAAAUUUCCUAGAGCAAAAUUUCUCUCACGACAUUUUCAGGGCCCACAUCAAUAGACUUCUGUCAGUUUAUCCCAUUAAUUUUCAGAAACACAAUUGUGGAUAUCUGGACUCUAAUAAGUGGUGCAGAUCCAAGAGAAUCUUUGCCUCCAUAUGAAUGGAAUUUUAUCAGGUUGGUCCCAUCAGAUUUCCAAAUAUGUCCAUAAAUACCUAAAAUCCUAGCAGUGUACAGAUAGAGCUAAAUUCAAAAUGAGAAGGUACCUGUUACAUUAAAAAUUAUGCGGAUGACCCAAUUUAAAUUACUCAUUUAUCAAAAUCAUCCUAUUAAUUUCCAACGUUCUUCUAUUUUUGGACCACAAUGAAAAGUAGUGCUUAAAUUUACUUCAUCUCCAGAAGAGUAAUCUGAGUCUUUGAAUGAUACUGUACAUAUCAUCUACCAGCUGCAUUUGAAAUAAAGUUGUGAAGUAUUAAAACAUGACAUUUAGGGUAGUAAAGGGUUAUGUCUAUCAUCAAUCAAUUAUAAAAAAUAAUAUAUUCCAAAUAUGAGGCUUUGUGGUCAUUUCUUCCUGCAAGUUAAAUAGUAGAUUUAGCUGUCUGAAGUCUAUUUUAGGUUGAAUUAUUUUUUUCAGGGUUUAUGAGAACUAACUAGAGUAAGAAGAGAAGGCAAAGAUACUUUUGAUGAUGGCGAGAAUGGAAAAUAAUGAACUAGAGUAAAGAAUACUUUUUGUUGAUGAUUGGAUAUAUGAGGUCACAUAAAUUUAAAUGCAGAAGCAAGUCCAGAUGUGGGCAGGAGACAGCACAAGGGCCUUAAGUACUUUGUAUAUUAUGACCGUAGAGGAUAGUAAGAAUUCCUGUGCUGUACAGAGCCAUUCUUAGUAAUCACUUCACUUGUAAUAACCACAUACUGCAUAAUGCUUAAUUAAUAACACUGUCUUAUAGCAAGAAUAAUUUUGAUGUGAGUCAAGCUGUUGUUAAUAUUUCUACAAACAAUGUUUUAGAAAGAAAGCUCUAUACUAAGGUCACAAUGAAAGCACUCUUCAGUAACCUUCGAUUCUUUUUUUAACCUACUAUACAAAAUGAUAAGAUUUGAAUUCUUUGUGAGGGCUAACUCAAGCUUCCAGAUCUUGACACUCUGAAUCCAACUUAUCAUUAAAAUUUCAUUCCUUUUUCCUUUAGUCCCAAUCAGACUGUUCUCUUUUUUGUCCUUAGAAAAAUGUGUUGCUCACUUCCAUGAAUGUGUCUACAACAUUUUUUUUUAUUCCUCGAAUGGUCACUCCUGUCUGUCCAGUUCCAAAAAUAUUCCAGCACAAUUCGUACCAGCUUCUCAAAGAAUAUCAAUAAAGACAUCCAAAAUGACAUUUUUCUCCUUGGAAAUUUUCCCACCCAUUUACUCACUGUAUCACUGCUUUAGCAGUGAAUAAUAUUAUUUUUGUGACCUUUUUUGCAUUAUUAUUUACCGUUUCAGAACUUUUUAAAACUUUCUCUUUGUAUUAUCCUAUAAUUAGAUUGUAAAACUCAGGAAAGCAGGACCUCAGUAUGCGUUUUAAUGUUAUACAACACCUUUGAACAUAAAAGCCCUAAGUAGUUAUUUAUUUUUAAAUGAAUAUGAUCCCUUCCAAUUAACGAAAAUAUGCAUACCAUUCUCCAGAGAUAAUUGUAUAACUUGGAUAAUAAUUGGUACUGUGAGAAAGAGAGAAAUGCAGGAUUGAGGUAUGGUAAAUGUUCCCCACCGAGUUUCUGUGGAGAAGAUAAACUUCAAGUAAACAUAGGGUUUAUAACCAUAAAAAAGCAAUCAAGGACUCUGAAAGUAUUGAGUUAAAGCCAGGAUAACUUUUUUUAAAUAUAGCAUGAAUUCAUCAAUUAUUUAGGCCAAUGAUGUGAAAUGGAAUCAUGAGUAUGUGAGGCCAUGCCAUAUAUAUCUUCAUGUUUCUUUCUGCCUUGAAUGCAAGGCCAGGGGGAACAUUUGCAACUAAGGAACAUCAAAUUAUUUUCAUAUUUGAAUGCCUACUGUGUUCUUAGCACCGAGUGAACACACUAGAGGACACAAAGGAAAAUGUAAUCCCGUAUUUGCUUCCUCUAGGGAGCCUGUGAUCAAAACUACCACAUUGAACUGAUUGGCUGAAUAAAUAGAAUUUGGUAACUUCAAAUCAGAUUUCAACUGAACUGAAUAAUAGCUGCGAAGAUGCUUACUAGACCACGUCCUCAGCCGGUCAUUUCCUCCCUGCCGCCCUACUUCUAUAUAUAGCACUUUCACUUCCAAUGUUCAAAAGGGCCAAGCCUAGGAAACCACUUGCUUCCGAGUCCCACGUCAUAGCUGAUCGGACUAGCAGUGCCUAUCUGACGCAAGGGGAGACAAACAGAUUCUCUCUCUCUCUGGAAUUUGAAAUUGAUACAGUGAAAGAAUAUUUUUUGUUGAUGAUUGGAUAUAUGAGGUCACAUGAAUUUAAAUGCAGAAGCAAGCAUUUCAAGGUCGCUGUGGUGAGCUGUGCGCAAGCAGGUGGGUUGCCUAAAGAAGACUUUUUGGAAAGAGAGUAGAAUUAGGCACACAGGCAAAGAGCCCACACAACCCAGAGAGGGAGUGAGCACCAUCUUGGUUCUUGAUGACUUCCCAGUUUCAUAUUCAAGUCUCUCAGGAGGCCCUGCAUAUGUUUCCCCUUUUACUCUAUGAGUCACCCCAUAUCCUUCCAAUAAGUUCCAUUAUUUUGCUUAAGCUUAAAAUUUAGUGUUUACUCUAGCUUGAUCACUGACUUAUAAAAAGUUAUAUGAGUCUAAACUGAAUUAAAGCAAUAUUUUGUACUACCCUUAUGCUAUCACAAUAAAAUGAAAGUUAUUGUUUGCAUGUUUUCCGUAAUUCAAGUAAUUGAUAGUGAUAAACACUUUUGAAAUGUCAGCUUUGAUAUCAUUACAGAAUCAUAGUGGCAUUCAACAUUCGAAAUCUUGCACUGAAUAAAAAAUUUUUGCCCAGAAUAAUUAUGUGAUAAGUAACAUCUGUUGCUCAAAUGUUGGGAUAAUCUAGCAAAUAUUGUGUAUUAAUAAGGAUUCAUGGUUCUAAGCAAUAAAACUCAACUCUAAAUGAUUCUACACAAAAAAAGGAGUUUAAUAAAAGCAUAUUGACCCAGGAAUUCUCCUCCUAGGUAUUCACUCCAAAGAAAUGAAGACACAUGUCCGCAAAGAAGACAUGUGUAUGAAUGUCCACAGUAGAUUAAUUCAUAAUAGCCCGAAACUGAAAACAAAUAAAAUACACACCAGCAGGAGAAUGAGAAAACAAAUUGUACCAUUUCAUACAAAGGAAUACCUCUCAGCAAUAAAAUAGAUGUGAAUUACUGCCCCUUGUAAUAACAUGGAUGAAUUUCAAAAAUAUUAGAUUGAGCACAAGAAGUCAGACACAAAAGGAUGUAUACCAUAUGGUUCCAUUCAUAUAAAGUUUAAAUCACCAAAACUAAUCUGUACAGAUGGAAGUAGAAUAGUGCCUCCCUCAAGGGAGGGCAUUCUGAUGACGAAGGGGCAUGGAAAACCUGUAGCAGUUAUGAAAAUAUUCUAUACAUUAAUGAGGGAUGGUUAAAUUGGUGUAUAUGUACAUUUAAGUUCUGUACAUGUUAAUCUGUGCAAAAUACAUAUCAAUGAUUAAAAAAAGCAUAUUGAGUAGCUUCCAGAAUCAUUGGGAGCUGCUGUAGACUGAAUGUUUGUGUCACCCCAAAAUUCGUAUGUUGAAACCUAAUCCUCAGCGUGAUGGUAUUUGGAGGAGAGGCGUUGAGAAGAUGGUC
This 9643-nucleotide long non-coding RNA is filed under the name Equus caballus (horse). RNAcentral describes it as "lncRNA (ENSECAG00000047192.1)". Lineage: Eukaryota; Metazoa; Chordata; Mammalia; Perissodactyla; Equidae. The record is from RNAcentral.